GAUGAACGCUAGCGGCAUGCCUAACACAUGCAAGUCGAGGGGUAGAAGGAGCUUCUUCCUUUGAGACCGGCGCACGGGUGCGUAACGCGUAUGCAAUCUACCUUGUACAGGGGAGUAGCCCAGAGAAAUUUGGAUUAAUGCCCCAUAGUAUAUAACUUUCGCAUGUUGGUUAUCUUAAAGUUCCAACGGUACAAGAUGAGCAUGCGUCCCAUUAGUUAGUUGGUAAGGUAAUGGCUUACCAAGACGAUGAUGGGUAGGGGUCCUGAGAGGCAGAUCCCCCGCACUGGUACUGAGACACGGACCAGAAUCCUACGCAGCGCAGCAGUAUGGAAUAUUGGUGGAGGGACGCAAGACUAAACCAGCCGUGCCGGGUGCAGGAGUACGGUCAUAGGGAAUGUAAGCUGCUUUGAUACAGGAAGAAUCCAUCCCACGUGUGGGGGCUUGACGGUACUGAAGGAAUAAGGAACGGCUAACUCCGUG
Molecule: ribosomal RNA, 480 nt
Filed under: uncultured bacterium
Lineage: Bacteria
Description: partial 16S ribosomal RNA
Rfam family: Bacterial small subunit ribosomal RNA
Source: RNAcentral